This 496-nucleotide ribosomal RNA is filed under the name uncultured bacterium. RNAcentral's name for it is "partial 16S ribosomal RNA". It matches the Rfam family "Bacterial small subunit ribosomal RNA", at positions 28 to 507 of the family's 1533-position model. The record is from RNAcentral.
GAUGAACGCUGGCGGCGUGCCUAAUACAUGCAAGUCGAGCGAACAGACGAGGAGCUUGCUCCUCUGACGUUAGCGGCGGACGGGUGAGUAACACGUGGAUAACCUACCUAUAAGACUGGGAUAACUUCGGGAAACCGGAGCUAAUACCGGAUAAUAUAUUGAACCGCAUGGUUCAAUAGUGAAAGACGGUUUUGCUGUCACUUAUAGAUGGAUCCGCGCCGCAUUAGCUAGUUGGUAAGGUAACGGCUUACCAAGGCAACGAUGCGUAGCCGACCUGAGAGGGGGAGCGGCCACACUGGAACUGAGACCCGGUCCAGCCUCCUAGGGGGGGAAGAAGUAGGGAAUCUUCCGCAAUGGCGAAAGCCUGACGGAGCAACGCCGCGUGAGUGAUGAAGGUCUUCGGAUCGUAAAACUUUGUUAUUAGGGAAGAACAAAUGUGUAAGUAACUCUGCACGUCUUGACGGUACCUAAUCAGAAAGCCACGGCUAACUACGUG